GACGAACGCUGGCGGCGUGCUUAACACAUGCAAGUCGAACGGAAAGGCCCUGCUUGCGGGGUACUCGAGUGGCGAGCGGGUGAGUAACACGUGGGUGGUCUGCCCUGCACUUCGGGAUAAGCCUGGGAAACUGGGUCUAAUACCGGAUAGGAGCCAUUUUUAGUGGGAUGGUUGGAAAGUUUUUUCGGUGUAGGAUGAGCUCGCGGCCUAUCAGCUUGUUGGUGGGGUAAUGGCCUACCAAGGCGGCGACGGGUAGCCGGCCUGAGAGGGUGGACGGCCACAUUGGGACUGAGAGACGGCCCAGACUCCUACGGGAGGCAGCAGGGGGGAAUCUUGAACAAUGGGCGCAAGCCUGAUGCAGAGACGCCGCGUGGGGGAUGACGGCCUUCGGGUUGAAAACUAAUUUCGCUAGGGACGAAGCAUUUUGUGACGGUACCUAGAUAAGAAGCACCGGCUAACUACGUG
This 465-nucleotide ribosomal RNA is filed under the name uncultured bacterium. RNAcentral's name for it is "partial 16S ribosomal RNA". It matches the Rfam family "Bacterial small subunit ribosomal RNA", at positions 28 to 507 of the family's 1533-position model. The record is from RNAcentral.